AAACCAAGAUUCGGCUUCUGCCGGACACAUAGAAAACGAGAAAGAAAGAAAAAAACGAGAGAGAGACUGGCUUAGUUUGGGAUUGAUUUCUGGAGUGCUUUUGAGAUUGCUUCUGCUUUUGGGACAAGAGCAUGGUGUUUGGUAAAAUCUUUGAAAGCUGCUUUUGGUUGGAAUUGCUUCUCUGUAAAGCUGAAAUUGAGAAGCUACAAUUUGUAGCUUUUAAAAACUGCUUUGGGAAAACACGGAGGAGCUCUCCACUGUUGUUUAAUGAAAUUGGACUUCCUGCCAAUUCUGUCCUCCUCAUCUCUCUUUGCCGUCAUUAUCAUUAUCAUUCCACAUCUCCUCCUUCCUCUUCUUCGGUGCCUGGUUCUCCAUCCUCUUCUCUCAGAUCGCCUUCUUCUUCAGCUCGUCGCUGUUGACGUCCUUCAAUUCCUGGAUUCUCGCCGGCCUCGCCUCCUUCCUCUGCGCAGACUUUGGGUCUUCUGGGUUAUGCUUCUUCUCUGCAGAUAGUUAAAGUCCCUGAAUUCGAUUCAGAUAAAACUCCUAGUCUCCAACCCAUGUGGGUCUUCUUCCUCACCAGCUAUUAAUACCCAAUUCCAGUCAUUUUUUUCUCUCUAUGUUGAUUUUCAAUCAAAGCUCUCAACUUUGAAACCUGCUAUUAGUUCCCAAUUGUCCUCAUUUUUCUUCUCUGUUGUUUUUCAAUCCAAAGUUUCAGUCUUUAAAUCAAAGCUCGCAACUUUGAACCAAAACCCACAUCAUGUCUAUUGCUUUGGACAGAAAUGGGAAUAGUGGGAAUGGUAUGAUCCCACGGUCCGGGAGGUUCAUCCAUGGGAUGCCUUGUAUUUCGAUCUACGACACAAAAGGGUUUGAUCAGGAUUGUCGUUUGGAGUUGGAGGAGGACUCUAGUAUCUCGAGGUCCUCGUCGGUUGGUAAUAACAGUGACGAGUCUAAUGGGUCGUCGGAGGGUGAGGUUCAGAGCUCGUUUAAAGGGCCUUUGGACACCAUGGACCAGCUUGAGGAGGUUUUGCCUGUCAAUUUACCAAACACCUCAGCUGCUUCUCCUCACAGCAAGUUCGGAAGUGCUUCCUCUCACAGUAAGUUCGAAAGUGCUUCCCCUCACAGCACAGCAAUCCCAAACUAAGCCAGAAUAGGGGAAGAAGGGAUAGAGGAAGAAAUUCGGAAUAAGGAAGAAAUGGGGAGAGAGAGGAAGAAGCAGAAGACGGAGCGGGAAGGAAGAAAGAGGAGAUGCAGAGGAAAGAAAGGAAAGAAGCAUGAAAAGAGGAAGAGGAUUGGAUUUUUGGGCGUGUACAAUAAUUUACAAGAGGGGUGAAAGAUUGGUGCAUGGUUCAGAUAUACAUGCAAUUGAGAUUGUUGGGUAUCUGAAAGUAGGGAACUUUGUUUCUGGGGAACUUCAAAGGUGCCCUAUUGCUUCGUUUGAUUUGGGUCGUCAAGUAUCGAAUAAGUUAUUGUUUCAUUGCAAUUUAAGCCACAGCCUUAUUAAAGGAAAAAUGAAGCACUCGCAUAUAUCUUUGUGCAAGAUGGAAACUCCUUGAUUUUAACUAAAAUUGUUAAAUUUUUUGAUGUGGUUUUUGUGUGCAGGACUCUUAUGAGGAUCUGUUUAAACAGCUGAGCAAGUAUAGACUGAUCAUUCUCAGGCUAGAAUUAUAAUUAAAGAGUUGGUCUGUUGGUGUAUGAAAAGCAAUUGGAUAGGCAAGACAGUUUCAGACCUAGUCGAAUCAAAGCUGCUGUCCAGUUGGUUAAGGAUGAGCUAGAAGCUGAAAGAAAGUUGAGAAAGCAUUCAGCCGCACUUACGCGCGUGCGUGAAGGCUAGUUGGAAUAAUGAAAUCUUCCAUCGUUACUCAUAGUUGUACUAUAUGAAUACAGGAGAAACUUGUUUGCAUUUUGUUUUGAACUAAUUUGCAAGAAACACCUUAAGCUGA
This is an RNA transcript of Rosa rugosa (rugosa rose), 1940 nucleotides long. RefSeq lists it as uncharacterized. Lineage: Eukaryota; Viridiplantae; Streptophyta; Magnoliopsida; Rosales; Rosaceae. The record is from RefSeq and is a predicted model, not a curated record. The transcript is spliced from 4 exons.